GAAAAGACUGUGAAAGAGAAGGGUAUUUUGAUGGAUGGUCGCAGAGAGCCGGCACUGUGGUGAAAGCCGGCACCAGUCGCAAUAUACAGAUCACUCUUGAGUCGCAUAUCCGAAAGCUACGCCGUUAGGAUAUGCCGUUUUGCCGCGUUAUAGGCUCUAAAGUGGUUUUUCAACUAAGGUGGUACCGCGGGUUUUCAACUCGUCCUUUUA
RNAcentral lists this non-coding RNA (210 nucleotides) under Andreesenia angusta. Its description in RNAcentral is "Eubacterium angustum T-box sequence". It matches the Rfam family "T-box leader". From Rfam's summary of the family: Uncharged tRNA acts as the effector for transcription antitermination of genes in the T-box leader family. T-boxes are found upstream of many aminoacyl-tRNA synthetase genes and some amino acid biosynthetic genes usually in Gram-positive bacteria. The record is from RNAcentral. Lineage: Bacteria; Bacillati; Bacillota; Tissierellia; Tissierellales; Gottschalkiaceae.